This 1221-nucleotide long non-coding RNA is filed under the name Olea europaea subsp. europaea. The record is from RNAcentral. Lineage: Eukaryota; Viridiplantae; Streptophyta; Magnoliopsida; Lamiales; Oleaceae.
AUUUAUUAGAACUCAAAGGAAAUACAACACGAUGAUGUUUUUGCGAACUGGCAUACUUCACAAUGUAGGGAUUUUCAUCCACACCUUUGAAUAAAGUUGUAAAAAUAGUUUUUAAAACUAAAAAUGAUGGAUGUCAUAAACGAUGAUGCUAAAGAAAAGUCCGAAGUUUAUUUUGUGAGAGCCUUUCAGAUAAAUGAGGUAAAGAUAAUCAAUCUCCAUCUCCACCAUAACCAGUAUCCAAGAAAUGAAGUUCUUCCGUCUCCUUAGCAAGUCCAAUCGUCUUUCCCAUAACCAUUUCCUAAAGACACAAUGAUCAGAGAAAAAUAUAACUUUGCAAUUUAGAUCUUUUGUGAGUUUAUGAAUAGACAACAAAUUAAUAGAACAUUUAAGAACUUGAAGUACAGAUUUUAGUGAGAGAGAAGAACUGACAGGAAUGGUAACCUUUCUUGUAAUGGAUGCCAAUGUACCAUGUGCAACUUUUAUUUUUUGAUUUCCGAGACAUGGUGUAUAUGUGGUGAAGUAAUGUGAUGAGUUGGUCAUGUGAUCAAUAGCACUUAAAUCAACAUCCCACAUAUCAUGUGUUUUACAGUUCUUUGAGGCACUAAGAGCUUUGGAUAAAUUAUAGUUACCUGAGUGCACAAAUGAACAUGAACCAAUCGAUUUUUCUAUUGAAGUAAGAAGACUUCGAAGCUUCUCAAUCUCCUCUUUGUUUAAUGUAUUCGUCUUAGGCUCAUUGUCGAUGUGAUCUUCAUCCAUAACCACUGUGUUUGCUAGGUUGUUGCGUUUGAUAUAUAUUGUUGCUGCUUGUUAUUUCUACCAAAUUAUGAUGGCUUUCCGUUUAGUUUCCAACAGGUCUCCCUUGUAUGUCCUCUCCUCUUGCAAAAGUCACACCAACGGUCAUCUUUAUUUUUCGGUGGUUCUCUAUUGUCAUGAUUUUACUUGAGGGCAUCAAAACUAUUUGAACAAGGCUUCUUUAGGAGGAAAAUCAAGCAUCACAGUCCUUCCCUCCUCAGUUCAAAAUAAUGGAUAACACUUCACUUGAGGAAUGUACCUCUUCCUUUCCAAGUACCUGCACAUAAACUUCAUCAAAUUCCAUUAAGUCCGGCCAAGAAUUCAUAUAAUAUUUCUCCUUCGACGAAUUUCAACAUCUUUGCAACAUCAUCACCACACCUUGUAUUGAGAUUUUGAUAAUAAUCAAGUUCAAGCCAAAAAGCAUUCGAG